RNAcentral lists this ribosomal RNA (440 nucleotides) under uncultured bacterium. RNAcentral's name for it is "bacterial SSU rRNA". It matches the Rfam family "Bacterial small subunit ribosomal RNA", at positions 338 to 795 of the family's 1533-position model. The record is from RNAcentral.
CCUACGGGUGGCAGCAGUGGGGAAUAUUGGACAAUGGGGGAAACCCUGAUCCAGCAAUGCCGCGUGGGUGAUGAAGGCCUUCGGGUUGUAAAGCCCUUUUGGCGGGGACGAUGAUGACGGUACCCGCAGAAUAAGCCCCGGCUAACUUCGUGCCAGCAGCCGCGGUAAUACGAAGGGGGCUAGCGUUGUUCGGAAUUACUGGGCGUAAAGGGCGCGUAGGCGGUCGUGCAAGUCAGAUGUGAAAGCCCUGGGCUCAACCCAGGAGGUGCAUUUGAUACUGCAUGGCUAGAGUGUCGGAGAGGAUGGUGGAAUUCCCAGUGUAGAGGUGAAAUUCGUAGAUAUUGGGAAGAACACCGGUGGCGAAGGCGACCAUCUGGACGACAACUGACGCUGAGGCGCGAAAGCGUGGGGAGCAAACAGGAUUAGAUACCCCAGUAGUC